UUCCUACGGGAGGCAGCAGUGGGGAAUUGUUCGCAAUGGGCGCAAGCCUGACGACGCAACGCCGCGUGGGGGAAGAAGGCUUCGGGUUGUAAACCCCUUUCAGGAGGGACGAAGCCACUCGGGUUAAUAGCCCAGAGGGUGACGGUACCUCCAGAAGAAGCCCCGGCUAACUACGUGCCAGCAGCCGCGGUAAUACGUAGGGGGCAAGCGUUGUCCGGAUUUAUUGGGCGUAAAGAGCGUGUAGGCGGCUUGGCAAGUCCGCUGUGAAAACUCGAGGCUCAACCUCGAGCCGUCGGUGGAAACUGCCUGGCUAGAGUCCGGAAGAGGAGAGUGGAAUUCCUGGUGUAGCGGUGAAAUGCGCAGAUAUCAGGAAGAACACCUAUGGCGAAGGCAGCUCUCUGGGACGGUACUGACGCUCAUGCACGAAAGCGUGGGGAGCAAACAGGAUUAGAUACCCUGGUAGUCCACGCCCUAAACGAUGUCAACUGGUUGUUGGUCCUUCACUGGAUCAGUAACGAAGCUAACGCGUGAAGUUGACCGCCUGGGGAGUACGGCCGCAAGGUUAAAACUCAAAGGAAUUGA
This 582-nucleotide ribosomal RNA is filed under the name uncultured Rubrobacteria bacterium. RNAcentral describes it as "bacterial SSU rRNA". It matches the Rfam family "Bacterial small subunit ribosomal RNA", at positions 336 to 913 of the family's 1533-position model. The record is from RNAcentral. Lineage: Bacteria; Bacillati; Actinomycetota; Rubrobacteria.